Molecule: long non-coding RNA, 240 nt
Filed under: Helianthus annuus (common sunflower)
Lineage: Eukaryota; Viridiplantae; Streptophyta; Magnoliopsida; Asterales; Asteraceae
Description: hypothetical non coding rna
Source: RNAcentral
GCUCGUCAACACUUGGAUAAUCGGAAGACUUAGCAAUUAUGUUGAUUAUUGAAGUAUGGAUGAUUGAUGAAACAAGUUUAGGGUGGCUAGAUACACACCUAAAUUUAUCUAUCUUUUGUUGUUAUGUUAUUUGUUGAAACAAUGUUGUUAUUUCCUUUUGAAUAUUGUUGUUAUGACGUCUCUAGCAAUCUUUACACACUUCGUCUCAUCCCGAUGUUUCCGCCAUUGGUUGGGGUGUGA